RNAcentral lists this ribosomal RNA (460 nucleotides) under uncultured bacterium. Its description in RNAcentral is "partial 16S ribosomal RNA". It matches the Rfam family "Bacterial small subunit ribosomal RNA", at positions 338 to 795 of the family's 1533-position model. The record is from RNAcentral.
CCUACGGGGGGCAGCAGUGAGGAAUAUUGGUCAAUGGACGAGAGUCUGAACCAGCCAAGUAGCGUGAAGGAUGACUGCCCUAUGGGUUGUAAACUUCUUUUAUAUGGGAAUAAAAUGUUCCACGUGUGGGAUUUUGUAUGUACCAUAUGAAUAAGGAUCGGCUAACUCCGUGCCAGCAGCCGCGGUAAUACGGAGGAUCCGAGCGUUAUCCGGAUUUAUUGGGUUUAAAGGGAGCGUAGGUGGAUUGUUAAGUCAGUUGUGAAAGUUUGCGGCUCAACCGUAAAAUUGCAGUUGAAACUGGCAGUCGUGAGUACAGUAGAGGUGGGCGGAAUUCGUGGUGUAGCGGUGAAAUGCUUAGAUAUCACGAAGAACUCCGAUUGCGAAGGCAGCUCACUGGACUGCAACUGACACUGAGGCUCGAAAGUGUGGGUAUCAAACAGGAUGAGAUACCCCAGUAGUC